Molecule: ribosomal RNA, 459 nt
Filed under: uncultured bacterium
Lineage: Bacteria
Description: partial 16S ribosomal RNA
Rfam family: Bacterial small subunit ribosomal RNA
Source: RNAcentral
CCUACGGGCGGCAGCAGUGAGGAAUAUUGGUCAAUGGUCGGGAGACUGAACCAGCCAAGCCGCGUGAGGGAGGAAGGUACAGAGUAUCGUAAACCUCUUUUGUCAGGGAACAAAGGCGGGGACGUGUCCCCGGAUGAGUGUACCUGAAGAAAAAGCAUCGGCUAACUCCGUGCCAGCAGCCGCGGUAAUACGGAGGAUGCGAGCGUUAUCCGGAUUUAUUGGGUUAAAGGGGUGCGCAGGCGGCCAGUUAAGUCAGCGGGCAAAGCCCGGGGCUCAACCCCGGCCCGCCGUUGAAACUGGUAGUCUCGAGUUGGAGAGAGGUAUGCGGAAUGCGCGGUGUAGCGGUGAAAUGCAUAGAUAUCGCGCAGAACUCCGAUUGCGAAGGCAGCAUGCCGGCUCCACACUGACGCUGAGGCACGAAAGCGUGGGUAUCGAACAGGAUUAGAUACCCCAGUAGUC